GACGAACGCUGGCGGCGUGCUUAACACAUGCGAGUCGAACGGAAAGGCCCUGCUUUUGUGGGGUGCUCGAGUGGCGAACGGGUGAGUAACACGUGAGUAACCUGCCCUUGACUUUGGGAUAACUUCAGGAAACUGGGGCUAAUACCGGAUAGGAGCUCCUGCUGCAUGGGGGGGGUUGGAAAGUUUCGGCGGUUGGGGAUGGACUCGCGGCUUAUGAGCUUGUUGGUGGGGUAGUGGCUUACCAAGGCUUUGACGGGUAGCCGGCCUGAGAGGGUGACCGGCCACCAUGGGCCUGAGAUACGGACCAGUCUCCAACGGGCGGCAGCAGUGGGGAAUAUUGCACAAUGGGCGGAAGCCUGAUGCAGCAACGCCGCGUGCGGGAUGACGGCCUUCGGGUUGUAAACCGCUUUCGCCUGUGACGAAGCGUGAGUGACGGUAAUGGGUAAAGAAGCACCGGCUAACUACGUG
RNAcentral lists this ribosomal RNA (468 nucleotides) under uncultured bacterium. RNAcentral's name for it is "partial 16S ribosomal RNA". It matches the Rfam family "Bacterial small subunit ribosomal RNA", at positions 28 to 507 of the family's 1533-position model. The record is from RNAcentral.